RNAcentral lists this ribosomal RNA (207 nucleotides) under uncultured bacterium. Its description in RNAcentral is "partial 16S ribosomal RNA". It matches the Rfam family "Bacterial small subunit ribosomal RNA", at positions 568 to 774 of the family's 1533-position model. The record is from RNAcentral.
CGCGUAGGCGGCUCAUAAAGGGUGUGGUGAAAGUCCGGGGCUCAACCCCGGAUCUGCCGUGCCGACUGUUAGGCUAGAGUACUGUAGGGGCAGGCGGAAUUCCGGGUGUAGCGGUGGAAUGCGUAGAGAUCCGGAGGAAGACCGGUGGCGAAGGCGGCCUGCUGGGCAGUUACUGACACUGAGGCGCGACAGCGUGGGGAGCAAACA